This 213-nucleotide ribosomal RNA is filed under the name uncultured Glomus. RNAcentral describes it as "partial 18S ribosomal RNA". The stretch from base 86 to 213 matches the Rfam family "Eukaryotic small subunit ribosomal RNA", at positions 733 to 863 of the family's 1831-position model. The record is from RNAcentral. Lineage: Eukaryota; Fungi; Glomeromycota; Glomeromycetes; Glomerales; Glomeraceae.
GGUCAGUAGGUCGGUCGUGCCAACGGUAUGAACUGGCCUCACUGAUUCCUCCCUCUUGUAGAACCGUGAUGCCAUUAACUUGGUGUUGCGGGGAAACAGGACUGUUACUUUGAAAAAAUUAGAGUGUUUAAAGCAGGCUAACGCUUGAAUACAUUAGCAUGGAAUAAUGAAAUAGGACGUCGAUCUUAUUUUGUUGGUUUCUAGGGUUGACGU